CGGGCAGUAGCGCAGCUUGGUAGCGCACACGUCUGGGGGGCGUGUGGUCGGUGGUUCAAAUCCACUUUGCCCGA
Molecule: transfer RNA, 74 nt
Filed under: Spirochaetes bacterium GWB1_36_13
Lineage: Bacteria; Pseudomonadati; Spirochaetota
Also listed under: 1 other name
Description: tRNA-Pro
Rfam family: tRNA
About the family: Transfer RNA (tRNA) molecules are approximately 80 nucleotides in length. Their secondary structure includes four short double-helical elements and three loops (D, anti-codon, and T loops).
Source: RNAcentral